AGCCGAAACGCCGGGACGGAUUCCGGCGUCGUCGCGGGGCGGUACCCGCGGCCUGACGAUGGCAGCCACGC
Molecule: non-coding RNA, 71 nt
Filed under: Roseiconus nitratireducens
Lineage: Bacteria; Pseudomonadati; Planctomycetota; Planctomycetia; Pirellulales; Pirellulaceae
Source: RNAcentral